GGGGUUGUGGCUCAGUGGUAGAGCACUUGCCUAGCAUGUGUGAGGCCCUGGGUUCAAUCCCCAGCACCACA
This 71-nucleotide transfer RNA is filed under the name Marmota monax (woodchuck). RNAcentral's name for it is "tRNA.Ala". It matches the Rfam family "tRNA". Rfam says of the family: Transfer RNA (tRNA) molecules are approximately 80 nucleotides in length. Their secondary structure includes four short double-helical elements and three loops (D, anti-codon, and T loops). Further hydrogen bonds mediate the characteristic L-shaped molecular structure. tRNAs have two regions of fundamental functional importance: the anti-codon, which is responsible for specific mRNA codon recognition, and the 3' end, to which the tRNAs corresponding amino acid is attached (by aminoacyl-tRNA synthetases). tRNAs cope with the degeneracy of the genetic code in two manners: having more than one tRNA (with a specific anti-codon) for a particular amino acid; and 'wobble' base-pairing, i.e. permitting non-standard base-pairing at the 3rd anti-codon position. The record is from RNAcentral. Lineage: Eukaryota; Metazoa; Chordata; Mammalia; Rodentia; Sciuridae.